This is a long non-coding RNA of Fundulus heteroclitus (mummichog), 700 nucleotides long. RefSeq lists it as uncharacterized. NCBI's taxonomy places the organism in Eukaryota, Metazoa, Chordata, Actinopteri, Cyprinodontiformes, Fundulidae. The transcript has 3 exons. The record is from RefSeq and is a predicted model, not a curated record.
GAGGAUUCCAUAAGGGAAUCACUCGUCUUGGAACGGAAGAGCUGCUCCACGUGCUGCAGGAGAGUGAACAGCUCAUCGGAUGGCCGUGCACACUGGCAUUCCUCACAGAGCGAGAAGCUGAUGACCCUCUUCGCUACGUAUCCUGCCAGGUGGCAGAGGACACAAGACUCGGUCUUUGUGAGGUCAGGUGGUGAUGGGUCUACCAGCUGCUCCACUCUCACAACCUCAGAAGCACUGCAGUUGCUGUUCUUGUUGUCCAAGAAGUCCGCCAAGUGGUCUGAUGCAUCAUCCAGAUCUUCCUGGAUCUCCAGGAUCGUUGUUGUGGACAUCAUCAGUCCUGUCUGCGACAUUAUAAUAUGCUGUGAAUGGUUUGCCCUAUAUAUAGUGUUACCUGCUGUGUCCAUUGUUGAAUAUAUUGUCGCCCUAUUUCGAUUCAUCUGCUUUUUAGUGUCCAGGACUCAGAUGAAGAGGAUGUUAGUAUGCGUUGACGAGAGGAACUGCCCUACAGUGACUGGCCAUAGUGCAUACUGGAACUCCACAGGUGUGAGUCUGAUGUAUGCAAGAGAAAGUAUUUUUCUAGGCAGUCCUGAAUGAACUGGCUUUAAUGAACAUAUUUGUGCCCCUGUCUCAACAGAUCUUGCUGGACCAGCAGUAUCGUUGUUGUGGCCAUCACAGGUUUCAGUGGAGCCCCCCCCCCCCC